GAUGAACGCUAGCGGGAGGCCUAAUACAUGCAAGUCGAACGGUAACAGGGUAGCAAUACCGCUGACGAGUGGCGCACGGGUGAGUAACACGUACACAAUCUGCCUUAUACUGGAGCAUACCCCCAAGAAAUUGGGACUAAUUCUCCAUAAUAUAUCGAAGAGGCAUCUCUUUGAUAUUAAAACUCCGGUGGUAUAAGAUGAGUGUGCGUCUGAUUAGCUAGUUGGUAGGGUAACGGCCUACCAAGGCAACGAUCAGUAACUGGUCUGAGAGGAUGAUCAGUCACACGGACACUGAGACACGGGUCCGACUCCUACGGGAGGCAGCAGUAGGGAAUAUUGGACAAUGGGCGCAAGCCUGAUCCAGCCAUCCCGCGUGAAGGAUUAAGGCCCUCUGGGUUGUAAACUUCUUUUUUGGGGGAAUAAAAACCGGAAUUCAUUCUGGCUUGAAGGUACCCCAACGAAUAAGCACCGGCUAACUCCGUGCCAGCAGCCGCGGUAAUACGGAGGGUG
This 510-nucleotide ribosomal RNA is filed under the name uncultured bacterium. RNAcentral's name for it is "bacterial SSU rRNA". It matches the Rfam family "Bacterial small subunit ribosomal RNA", at positions 28 to 534 of the family's 1533-position model. The record is from RNAcentral.